RNAcentral lists this ribosomal RNA (465 nucleotides) under uncultured bacterium. RNAcentral's name for it is "partial 16S ribosomal RNA". It matches the Rfam family "Bacterial small subunit ribosomal RNA", at positions 339 to 795 of the family's 1533-position model. The record is from RNAcentral.
CUACGGGUCGCUGCAGUGGGGAAUAUUGGACAAUGGGGGAAACCCUGAUCCAGCAAUGCCGCGUGUGUGAAGAAGGCCUGCGGGUUGUAAAGCACUUUCGGUUGGGAGGACUGCUUCUAGCACUAAUAUUGUUGGAAGUUGACGUUACCUUCAGAAGAAGCACCGGCUAACUCCGUGCCAGCAGCCGCGGUAAUACGGAGGGUGCAAGCGUGAAUCGGAAUUACUGGGCGUAAAGCGCGCGUAGGCGGCUAGAUCAGUCGGGUGUGAAAGCCCCGGGCUUAACCUGGGAACUGCAUCCGAUACUGGUGAGCUUGAGUACAGGAGAGGAGAGUGGAAUUCCACAUGUAGCGGUGGAAUGCGUAGAUAUGUGGAGGAACACCAAUGGCGAAGGCAGCUCUCUGGCCUGAUACUGACGCUGAGGUGCGAAAGCGUGGGGAGCAAACAGGAUUAGAUACCCGAGUAGUC